This 350-nucleotide ribosomal RNA is filed under the name uncultured Pseudomonadota bacterium. RNAcentral's name for it is "bacterial SSU rRNA". It matches the Rfam family "Bacterial small subunit ribosomal RNA", at positions 1 to 359 of the family's 1533-position model. Lineage: Bacteria; Pseudomonadati; Pseudomonadota. The record is from RNAcentral.
UAGAGUCUGAUCCUGGCUCAGAUUGAACGCUGGCGGCAUGCCUUACACAUGCAAGUCGAACGGCAGCACGGGGGCAACCCUGGUGGCGAGUGGCGAACGGGUGAGUAAUGCAUCGGAACGUGCCCAGUUGUGGGGGAUAGCCCGGCGAAAGCCGGAUUAAUACCGCAUACGACCUAAGGGUGAAAGCGGGGGACCGCAAGGCCUCGCGCAAUUGGAGCGGCCGAUGUCGGAUUAGCUAGUUGGUGGGGUAAAGGCUUACCAAGGCGACGAUCCGUAGCUGGUCUGAGAGGACGACCAGCCACACUGGGACUGAGACACGGCCCAGACUCCUACGGGAGGCAGCAGUGGGG